RNAcentral lists this ribosomal RNA (216 nucleotides) under Glomeromycotina sp. Its description in RNAcentral is "partial small subunit ribosomal RNA". The stretch from base 40 to 216 matches the Rfam family "Eukaryotic small subunit ribosomal RNA", at positions 686 to 864 of the family's 1831-position model. The record is from RNAcentral. Lineage: Eukaryota; Fungi; Glomeromycota.
GGGUCAGUAGGUUGGUCGUGCCACCGGUACGUACUGGUCUCACUGAUUCCUCCUUCCUGAAGAGCCGUAAUGCCAUUAAUUUGGUGUUGCGGGGAGACAGGACUGUUACUUUGAAAAAAUUAGAGUGUUUAAAGCAAGCUAACGCUUGAAUACAUUAGCAUGGAAUAAUGAAAUAGGACGAUCGAUCCUAUUUUGUUGGUUUCUAGGAUUGACGUA